Molecule: ribosomal RNA, 482 nt
Filed under: uncultured bacterium
Lineage: Bacteria
Description: bacterial SSU rRNA
Rfam family: Bacterial small subunit ribosomal RNA
Source: RNAcentral
GAUGAACGCUGGCGGCGUGCCUAAAACAUGCAAGUCGAGCGGCAGCGAGUUCCUCGCUAAUGUUCGGAUUUGUUUACCAAUGAUGCAAGUAAUUUAGUCAGAGUAACAAAGUAACGACUAGUUGUUUAAGUUAAAAGGUAGAUUUAAUAUUCCGGAUAUGAGCGAGGAAUGUCGGCGAGCGGCGGACGGCUGAGUAGCGCGUAGGAACAUACCCCAAAGUGAGGCAUAACCGCCCGAAAGGGUGGCUAAUACCGCAUAUUGUCUUCGGAUGAAAGCUUUUAGCGCUUUGGGAAUGGCCUGCGUUUGAUUAGCUAGUUGGUGAGGUAAGGGCUUACCAAGGCGAUGAUCAAUAGCUGGUUUGAGAGAAUGAUCAGCCAGACUGGAACUGAGACACGGUCCAGACUCCUACGGAGGCAGCAGUUGGAAUUUUCACAAUGGGAAGCUGAUGAGCAACGCGCGUGCAGGAGAAUGCUCGGUUGUAA